RNAcentral lists this non-coding RNA (118 nucleotides) under Prymnesium parvum. Lineage: Eukaryota; Haptophyta; Prymnesiales; Prymnesiaceae. The record is from RNAcentral.
CCACGGAGCCGACCCCGACCGCCGCGCCAGCCGCGUAUCGCUCUCUCCUACAACCCGGUACUGCCAUCACCUACGGCCUGCUGGUAUGUAUUUCAAUGAUCGAAGUGACUGCCGCCGG